UUUUCCCUCUUUUUUUAGCAUUUCACCCUAUAAUGAUUAGUGCACUGGGGUGUGUUUGGUAAGUAGAAUUUGCCAGGAUUGGAUGGGAUUCUAUUCCAGUCUGAUGGUCGGUUUUACAAUUUGAGAUGGAACAACUUAUCCUAAAUAGUAUUUUAAUCCCAAUUGAAUGGGACUCAUCAGACCCGUCUCCCCCCUCCCCCCUACGGGGGUCAAUUUUGUCCCAAACUCAAACGAAGCUUAGCUCACUCUUGCUGGUGUUCUCUCCCCGAAGCAAAUCCUUGGAUCGUGUCAACAAUUGAAGGAGCUCUCUUUCCCGGUGAAUGAUCGUUUCUCUCGCCGGACGUUUGCAUCUCUCCAACAAACAAACACGGCUGGUGAGUAUGCUUCUUACUCUACCCUCCAUCUCUGCAUCUCUGUAUCUGUUCCAGCCUUUUCUUGACCUUCUUCUCCUUCUUUCUUCCAUCUCGUGACCUUUCUUCUCCUUCUAUUUGAAAUGAAAGCUGAUCUUACUCGAUCUUGAAAAUUUAGGGCUUCAAUUUGCAAGGACCCCAAAUUUCCAUCACUUCUUAAAUCCCUACCAGAUUUGCAAGGACCCAACCCUCUUCAUAUCGGGAUUUUUUGCUUAUUUAUUUCUUUUUGGAAUUUUGACCAUUGGGACUUGUAAUUUAGAUCCUUUUCUCAAAUGAAUUUCUUUAAACUCGGGAAUAGAUUCAACUUUUCAUUUUAAUUUGAAAUUUCAAGUCUGUUUCUCAGUUGGGUUGUGUUCAAUCUCUGCUUCCCCUUCACUCAGCGGUAUCUUAUGCUUGGAUCCCCUCUUGCCUCGGUAUCGAUUCCAGGAGCUCAAGGUCAUUGUCUCAGGGUAUGCUCUGCUGUGCAAACCCACGAGUUUGAUAUCUCCAAUGUUUUGUAUUUGGUAUCUGUAAGCAACUUUUCUCUAUAAUUGUUUGAUAUUUGAAUAAAAAAUUCUUAUGAUGAUUCACUGAAAUUAGUGUCCUUUUUAUGUUGGUUCAUAUUGAUAAGUAAAAGUUUUCCAUUGCAGAGCAUCAAUCUGACUCUUGUGUGCUUGUUGGGUUGCUAAUUGCCCUAUAUCUUUUACUUUCAUGAUGCUUUUUUCUCUAAGUCCAACUUCUUGUCUGCAAAGAAAGCUAAAUAAGAGCUUGGAAUAGAUAUUUAGUCUAUAUUGUUCUUGUUAAAUUUGAGAUACUUAGCAGCUCUAGAACUAAGGGACCUCCUGAAAACAAUGAUUUAAUCCAGUGGUCAAGAUACAUUAUGUUAGGAUUUGUAGUUCUGAUUCUUAUAUAUAUGAAGUAAUAGUGCAGAAAGUUUUGAAAAAUAAAUUCUAACCGUUAGCAAUUGGCUCAUCAUAGUAUGGAGAGAAAAUGUGCUUCUGGUAACUUAUGCACUAAAAACUGCUUAAUUGCACAUUUUCGAAGGAGGUUUUUUUCAUCUAAGUUGCAGGACUAAAAGCCACAUAUUUGUUGAAGGAGAUUUAUGACAUUCUUGCCUUCUGUGCUAGUUCUAUGGUGCUAUAAUCGCAACAUCAUUCUUAUGAUUCUAGAAUGAUAAAACUUCAGUUCCAAAUCAAAUGGAGAAAAUGUCGCCAUGACUUUGAUUUGUAGCUAUUCCAUUGUUUGUGUGCUUUUGAAGGAUUACAAGCCCCCAAGCCAUGAUUUUUAAGUGGUUGGUGAGAUUAUGGGCUUGGAUUAAAAUGGGAAAGCUGUAUGUUCUGGUUGUAAUUUGUUAGCAUUUACCAAUACUUCAGUUGAAAAGGUUGAGGGGGAAAAAAAAAAGAAACGAAAAAAGAAUUGGAUAUGAGAGGGAUGGGACCCAACCCCAUGAUGAAAUGCAUGCCAUUCUUGGAGGACCCAUUAAUGAGGAGGAAUGAAAGCAUAUUUGACCAUCUUUACUUUCGGUUGUGCCACGAUAAAAGAUAUUGAAGUCAAGAAGAAUAUAAAGUUUGAUAUCUCAGAGAGUUCACUGCCCAUACACGUGCUAACUGGAACAAUGGGUGACACAAUAGUUUUAUAUUAGGCUUUAUAUUUGUAUUCCUAUCAAUGAUUGUAUUUACGCAUUUGUUAUAUAAGAAAAUUAUCCUUGUAAAAUCUAAUAUAUACAUAUGUAUGCGGAUAAGUAUGUGAAAUCUUUGUUAUCAACAAGUUCUUAAUUAAAUAUAAUAUUAACUUUUUUUA
RNA transcript from Ziziphus jujuba (common jujube), 2189 nucleotides. RefSeq lists it as uncharacterized. The record is from RefSeq and is a predicted model, not a curated record. Lineage: Eukaryota; Viridiplantae; Streptophyta; Magnoliopsida; Rosales; Rhamnaceae. The transcript has 2 exons.